UGUCUUUUCAAGAAUAUACGAUCAAAUUGAAACCAUAUAGAAAAAAUUAAAAUGACAAUACACAAGGAUCACACACUUAAACAGAAAUGAAUAUGUUUUGU
Molecule: small nuclear RNA, 101 nt
Filed under: Olea europaea subsp. europaea
Lineage: Eukaryota; Viridiplantae; Streptophyta; Magnoliopsida; Lamiales; Oleaceae
Source: RNAcentral